UACGGCCACAUUGGGACUGAGAUACGGCCCAGACUCCUGCGGAGGCAGCAGUGGGGAAUAUUGCACAAUGGGCGCAAGCCUGAUGCAGCGACGCCGCGUGAGGGAUGACGGCCUUCGGGUUGUAAACCUCUUUCGCUGGGGACGAAGCUUUUUUGGUGACGGUACCUGGAGAAGAAGCACCGGCUAACUACGUGCCAGCAGCCGCGGUAAUACGUAGGGUGCGAGCGUUGUCCGGAAUUACUGGGCGUAAAGAGCUCGUAGGUGGUUUGUCGCGUCGUCUGUGAAAUUCCGGGGCUUAACUUCGGGCGUGCAGGCGAUACGGGCAUAACUUGAGUGCUGUAGGGGAGACUGGAAUUCCUGGUGUAGCGGUGAAAUGCGCAGAUAUCAGGAGGAACACCGAUGGCGAAGGCAGGUCUCUGGGCAGUAACUGACGCUGAGGAGCGAAAGCAUGGGUAGCGAACAGGAUUAGAUACCCUGGUAGUCCAUGCCGUAAACGGUGGGCGCUAGGUGUGGGGGUCUUCCACGACUUCUGUGCCGUAGCUAACGCUUUAAGCGCCCCGCCUGGGGAGUACGGCCGCAAGGCUAAAACUCAAAGGAAUUGACGGGGGCCCGCACAAGCGGCGGAGCAUGUGGAUUAAUUCGAUGCAACGCGAAGAACCUUACCUGGGCUUGACAUAUGCAGGAUCGCGCCAGAGAUGGUGUUUCCCUUGUGGCUUGUAUACAGGUGGUGCAUGGUUGUCGUCAGCUCGUGUCGUGAGAUGUUGGGUUAAGUCCCGCAACGAGCGCAACCCUUGUCUUAUGUUGCCAGCACGUGAUGGUGGGGACUCAUGAGAGACUGCCGGGGUCAACUCGGAGGAAGGUGGGGAUGACGUCAAAUCAUCAUGCCCCUUAUGUCCAGGGCUUCACACAUGCUACAAUGGUCGGUACAGUGGGUUGCGAGACCGUGAGGUGGAGCGAAUCCCUUUGAAAGCCGGCCUCAGUUCGGAUUGGGGUCUGCAACUCGACCCCAUGAAGUCGGAGUCGCUAGUAAUCGCAGAUCAGCAAUGCUGCGGUGAAUACGUUCCCGGGCCUUGUACACACCGCCCGUCACGUCAUGAAAGUUGGUAACACCCGAAGCCCAUGGC
RNAcentral lists this ribosomal RNA (1124 nucleotides) under Corynebacterium canis. RNAcentral describes it as "bacterial SSU rRNA". It matches the Rfam family "Bacterial small subunit ribosomal RNA", at positions 303 to 1434 of the family's 1533-position model. The record is from RNAcentral. Lineage: Bacteria; Bacillati; Actinomycetota; Actinomycetes; Mycobacteriales; Corynebacteriaceae.